CAGCAGUCGCCGCGGGAAUACAGAGGAUGCAAGCGUUAUCCGGAAUGAUUGGGCGUAAAGCGUCUGUAGGUGGCUUUUCAAGUCCGCCGUCAAAUCCCAGGGCUCAACCCUGGGCAGGCGGUGGAAACUACCAAGCUGGAGUACGGUAGAGGCAGAGGGAAUUUCUGGUGGAGCGGUGAAAUGCGUUGAGAUCGGAAAGAACACCAACGGCGAAAGCACUCUGCUGGGCCGACACUGACACUGAGAGACGAAAGCUAGGGGAGCAAAUGGGAUUAGAUACCCCCGUAGUCCCUGUCUCUUAUAC
This 304-nucleotide ribosomal RNA is filed under the name uncultured bacterium. Its description in RNAcentral is "partial 16S ribosomal RNA". It matches the Rfam family "Bacterial small subunit ribosomal RNA", at positions 509 to 807 of the family's 1533-position model. The record is from RNAcentral.